GAUGAACGCUGGCGGCGUGCCUAACACAUGCAAGUCGAGCGAUCUUCUUCGGAAGAGAGCGGCGGACGGGUGAGUAACGCGUGGGUAACCUGCCCUGUACACACGGAUAACAUACCGAAAGGUAUGCUAAUAUGAGAUAAUAUGCUUUUAUCGCAUGGUAGAAGUAUCAAAGCUCCGGCGGUACAGGAUGGACCCGCGUCUGAUUAGCUAGUUGGUAAGGUAAUGGCUUACCAAGGCGACGAUCAGCAGCCGACCUGAGAGGGUGAUCGGCCACAGUGGAACUGAGACACGGUCCAAACUCCGGCGGGGGGCAGCAGUGGGGAAUAUUGCACAAUGGGCGAAAGCCUGAUGCAGCAACGCCGCGUGAGCGAUGAAGGCCUUCGGGUCGUAAAGCUCUGUCCUCAAGGAAGAUAAUGACGGUACUUGAGGAGGAAGCCCCGGCUAACUACGUGCCAGCAGCCGCAGUAA
This 468-nucleotide ribosomal RNA is filed under the name uncultured bacterium. RNAcentral describes it as "partial 16S ribosomal RNA". It matches the Rfam family "Bacterial small subunit ribosomal RNA", at positions 28 to 523 of the family's 1533-position model. The record is from RNAcentral.